Cercocebus atys (sooty mangabey) is the source of this 7522-nucleotide RNA transcript. It is a transcript of the gene named transmembrane protein 260, with no coding region annotated. The transcript has 18 exons. The record is from RefSeq and is a predicted model, not a curated record. Lineage: Eukaryota; Metazoa; Chordata; Mammalia; Primates; Cercopithecidae.
CAACAUGUGAGAAUUAUGGGAGCUACAAUUCAAGAUGAGAUUUGGGUGGGGAGACAGCAAAACCACAUCAGAUGGCAAAUAAAUAUGUUUCAUCUAUUAUGCCAACCUAUGAAAAUUGGGUGUGAAUUUCCUAGAACACUCUGUUGAGCGUUUCUGAGGUUGCUCAGACAAAAUGAUACCUGUCAUCGAUAUGGUUUGGGAUGUGGUGGUACAUAUGCCAGGUAGUAACUGACUGCAUAGUGCCAGUUUAAGAACCCUUACCCACAAACUGAGGAUAUAUAUGGAGGGAUUUUCGGUUAGAGUCACUGUCAGAGCCGAGCUGCCAAACAAUGCCAGAACUCAUUCAAAUUGGCCAAUUAACUGCCCAGUGUGGCAGGUUAUGCUCCUAACUGAGCAGCCUCACAACACCACGUGAGUGCUGGGAAGCUGACUCAGCUCUGUCUAGAAAGAAGAAAAUGCUGAUUUACCUCUCUCCAAGCCCCCUGGAUCUGCCUCUUGCAAACAACAAAUAAAUAAGGGCAAGAGGUAAUUUAAGCUUUUCUUUUUCAUUUAGCUUUCCUUUGUAGUUUAAUACUUCAAUUGAGGUCAUAUAUGUAGUGUUUCAUCAAUUGCUAGGUGUAGUAAGUAUUCAUCAAUGGUAGCCAUUUUCAUGAUUCUUUUCACAAUUUUUUUCCUUAUAAAGCAUAUGUUUUAUCACUAAAUAAAAAGAGAGAAUUAUAUAGCCAAACUUAUUUUAAAGAUUUGCUUGGAAGUUUCAGAGAAGAUCCCCCUGUAUUAAUCAUGUUCCUUUUUUUUUGUAUUUUAUGAUGCUUUGACACUGUGGGGGCUGUGUGGACCUGGGGAGGGACUGCCCCUCUAGGGGUUAGCUAAUUCAUAGAGAUAGCAGACAACUUGCCUGUGAGCACACCUUUUGUAUACAACCCACCAAUCCAAAGCCCAUAUCCCCAACCACCACCUUUAUCUUGCUCUAAUACACCAAGCCAGUAUUUCCACUGCCUAAAUCACCCCAAGGCCGGGCAUCAGACAACUAGAGACCACCCCUAUGGCCAGAGCCUGCCCACAUUAUUCAAACUAUCCAAUUCUAAGCUUGCUCAAACUUGCCUUCCCUGCCUCACCCUUUCUCUCGCAUGGAAACCACAGUAAGGCUCUGGACCAGGCUUUUCCCUCAUUGCUUCUGCCUCCUGAUUGACCUGGGUACUUCCCCUGAGGCCUGACGUAAUAUGGCAUGCCCCUCCUCUUGGAACCUUGCCUAAUUUUAAAACAUCAUGCUCUCGGGUGAGACAGAACAUGUCCAUGUAUGAAACUAAGCAUGUAAAGAAGAGUUAAAUUAUAAUAGCUUUUUGGAGUAAAGAAUGAAGAGGGCAAACGUGAUGAGGAAAAGGAGACUGUCAGUAAUUGCGAUGCACACACAAGGGAGAGCAUCCACGGUGAACACUUCAUGGACAAGAUGGAAAGUGUGCUCUGCACAGAGACUCUAUGCUGUGAAAGGAGGGAGAAUCAAUUUAUGGGCCAAGAAAGACCUGGACAAAAUUAUCCAUUUUGAAGGAAAUCAUUUGUGCUGAAGCAAUGAAAACUUUCUGGAGAGCUAUUUGAGGAGGCACAUGUUUAGGUAAUAUAUUGCUGCUUUGCAUUUCUAUAACACCUUCCAUGUAAGAGCUGCAGAGUGUAACACAAACAUUAACUAAUAAAUUAAGCCUCGUGGCACCUCUGCAUGAUCGAUAGACAUAACAGCCAUUUUUAUAGUGUAGGAAAGGCAGCACCCUGCUCAAAAGUGCUGAAGUCAUUUACCCAAGGUCAUGAAGUGGGGGAAAUUGGCAAAGUGUUCCAAAAUGAAGCGUUGAGUCUCACCACACUCACACAACCUGCCUCCUUCAAUGGGGUCAUAGAGGGAAUGAAGGGGGUGCCAUAUAUGCCCUGGUUUCCAAUGAUUCACUUCAGGAGAUAUCUCUGUAAUUUAACUUGAAGAAAUAGUAAGUCUUAGAUCAAAGCCUUAACUCCUUUCUCUCUGGUUUACUCAGGAAUUAAUUUGUUUGCUAAUGCUGGUCUCUCCUGGGAUCACACUGGCCUUUAGCUAUGGAGUUCUGUGUUCAUGUUACUUAAUCUGAUUAUGCAAAGGACUUAAAAUAUUUCAAGAAUGUCAAACCACACAAACAUGUCUAUGUAGGCACUAAUGUAAUUAUUUUAAUUGUUAUUUUAGUUUCUAAAAAACUCAUAAAAUCGCAAUUGAAAAAGUGUGCCGUCUCUCCAAAAGAUAGUGCCAAGUCCAUAACAGAAUCUGUUUAUUUUUUUCACUUUGGUAAGACAUCACUAUAUAUCUUCCUAAAUGUUAUUUCUCUCCAUUAUCAUAACCUUGGCUUAGUAAUAGCCUGUUCCAUAGUAACAUUGUCUUUUAUUCCUCUUUCUCUCUGAUAACCACGUAUUUUCUCCACUAGAAGGAUCGGCAGAGAGAAAACAAAGCAAGGAAAUCAAAUAUAAAUCCCCAGUGCUCCUAAUACCUCUUGGAAAGAAAACGGACACCUCUGUUAACAAAGUUAUGAUGAUUUCUACUUUGGUACACACUUCCGAACUUCUCAGAGAGGAACCAGCUCACCUCUAAGUCACUCAUGUUCUCAAUUUACAUUUGUUUUUUUUUCUAUAGAAAGAAAAAGACUUUUUUUUUUUAAUUGAAGCAAAGCAUAAUGCACUUGUCACUGUUUAACAUUCAGCCCCGUUUCUUUUCCAGAGCGGUCCUUUGAGAGCAUUAACAUUCACACCCCCUACAACUAGAAUUCAUGACACUGGCAAAUGAUGUUUCUAGACUGUUUGCAUUGGCCGACAUGUCCUCACCCUGUUUUCUCCCCAGUCCUUACAAUUCUCCAACUGCAGGUGCAAACUGGGGUGCUGUCAAGCAACCUGGUGCUGAGGAGGCAGAGCCAGGAUGGACCCGGAUUCUGGAUUCCACCAUGUGCCUGGUGGAUACCGUGCGGAUGUGGAGCAGGCAAUGCUGGGUGCAAAUCCCCGCCAGGAACUGUUCAUCCUGAAAAAAACCUGCUGCACAUUGCCCUGGUCACCUCAACGAAAAGGGAACUGAUCACAGCCGCACAUGAGCUCGGAGUUGCCCAUCCUCCUGGCUAUCCUUUGUUCACGCUGGUGGCUAAACUGGCAAUUACACUGUUUCCUUUUGGUUCAAUUGCCUACCGCGUCAAUCUUCUCUGUGGCUUAUUUGGAGCAGUAGCUGCAUCGUUACUUUUUUUCACCGUUUUCAGGCUUUCUGGCUCAUCUGCUGGAGGAAUCCUUGCUGCGGGGGUGUUUUCAUUUUCUCGUCUAACAUGGCAGUGGUCCAUUGCAGCAGAGGUUUUUAGCUUAAACAAUCUGUUUGUGGGGCUGCUUAUGGCUCUUACUGUACAUUUUGAGGAAGCAGCAACUGCUAAGGAGAGAUCAAAGAUAGCUAAAAUUGGUGCUUUCUGCUGUGGCCUUAGCUUAUGUAACCAGCACACAAUAAUACUCUAUGUUUUGUGCAUAAUACCUUGGAUUCUCUUUCAACUUUUAAAAAAGAAGGAACUCUCCCUGGGCUCUUUGUUGAAGUUGAGCCUGUACUUCUCUGCUGGUUUGCUGCCCUAUGUCCACCUUCCCAUCUCAUCUUACCUUAAUCAUGCCCGGUGGACCUGGGGAGACCAGACAACGCUGCAAGGAUUUUUGACACAUUUUCUCAGGGAAGAAUAUGGAACCUUCAGCCUGGCCAAAUCUGAAAUAGGAUCCAGUAUGUCUGAAAUAUUGCUUUCUCAAGUAACAAAUAUGAGGACCGAACUCUCAUUCAACAUCCAAGCCCUUGCAGUUUGUGCAAAUAUAUGUUUAGCAAGAAAGGACCGACAGAAUCCAUCAUUAGUAUGGCUUUUUACUGGGAUGUUCUGCAUUUAUUCAUUGUUCUUUGCUUGGAGAGCAAAUUUAGAUAUUUCAAAACCACUUUUCAUGGGUGUGGUGGAACGAUUCUGGAUGCAGAGCAAUGCGGUAGUGGCCGUCCUCGCUGGCAUUGGUUUGGCUGCAGUUGUGUCUGAGACUAACAGAGUGCUGAAUAGCAAUGGGCUUCAGUGUCUGGAAUGGCUUUCUGCAACUCUUUUUGUAGUUUACCAAAUAUAUUCUAAUUACAGCAUUUGUGACCAAAGGACCAACUAUGUGAUCGAUAAAUUCGCAAAGAACCUUCUCACCUCUAUGCCUCAUGAUGCAAUUAUCUUACUGAGAGGAGAUUUGCCAGGAAAUUCUCUCCGUUACAUGCAUUACUGUGAGGGGUUGAGGCCUGACAUUUCGUUAGUGGAUCAGGAAAUGAUGACUUAUGAGUGGUAUUUACCCAUGAUGGCAAAGCACUUGCCAGGUGUCAACUUUCCUGGGAACCGGUGGAAUCCUGUGGAAGGAAUAUUACCUAGUGGAAUGGUCACAUUUAAUCUUUAUCAUUUUCUUGAAGUAAAUAAACAAAAAGAAACAUUUGUUUGCAUAGGAAUUCAUGAAGGCGACCCAACCUGGAAAAAGAACUACUCACUUUGGCCAUGGGGGUCUUGUGACAAAUUAGUUCCUUUGGAGAUUGUAUUCAACCCUGAGGAAUGGAUUAAACUUACAAAAAAUAUCUACAACUGGACUGAAGAAUAUGGAAGGUUUGAUCCAUCUUCUUGGGAAUCUGUGGCCAAUGAAGAAAUGUGGCAAGCGAGGAUGAAAACACCAUUCUUCAUCUUUAACCUGGCAGAAACUGCUCACAUGCCUUCAAAAGUGAAAGCUCAACUCUACGCUCAUGCAUAUGACCUUUAUAAGGAGAUUGUCUAUUUGCAAAAGGAGCACCCAGUGAAUUGGCACAAGAACUAUGCCAUUGCCUGUGAGCGGAUGCUGCGUCUUCAGGCAAGAGAUGCAGACCCUGAAGUGCUGUUAUCUGAAACCAUCAGACAUUUCCAUCUGUACUCUCAGAAAGCACGGAAUGAUCCACAGCAAGCUGAUAUUUUAGGUGCUCUAAAGCACCUAAGAAAAGAACUGCAAAGUCUGAGAAACAGGAAAAAUGUCUGACACAGCAAAAUAUGAAAAACCUGCUCAUCAUUCAGCUUCCAAAAUUCUGAAGUCCGGAAGUUUUUUCUUCAAGAAAAGAAGCUGCAUAAAAAAUUUAAAACUAAGUCAUCUCCCAGAUAUAAGUAACAUGGUCCAGCAGUACUGUUUAAUGGGGUGUUCAGUGACUAAGAUCUACUAUUUAUGCAAAAUGCUGUUUAUCCCAUGUUACCAAAUUACCGUUUCAGUGAGAAGCUUUAUGAAAAGUCUUCUGACUUCCAGUCUUUUACCAGAUGACUGCGCUGGAUUAGAUUCUAGAAGAGAAUGAACCAUUUUCAUAUAACUAAAUAUUGACCAUGAACUGUUUAAGGGCCAUGCUUAUUGGAAUCAGUUUUAAAGUUAAAUUCUUUUGAUAUUAAUACCAGACCAAAGACAUUUUCUGUUUCCUGAACAAAAAGAAUGAAUCAUGUUAGGCUUUAGGUGAGAGUACAUUUUUUACAAAGUAGCUAUAGUUGUUACAUAGUCUUACACUUCAAGCUAAGCACCAAGUGGGUGAUAUUUUGAAAAAAGUUUGUGUUUUACUGUCUUAGAUCGUUCUCGGAAAUCACUGAAAAAAAAAAAAGCUAAUUUGAUGUUUGCUUAUUUCAGUUGCAGAAACUGUGUACAGACACCACAAAAUCUGAUAAAAGCGGUUUCCUGUAGUCUGACCCCCAACAUUGAGGGGACUGUGAUGGAGGUGACUUCUCAUGCAGGAUUUGGCCAGCGUUCUCCUAGCAGUGUCCUGGGAGUGCCAUGGGUUGGCAAGACGACAGGAACUCCACAAGGCCAAAUUCUGCCUGGACUUCGGCCUGAGGUGCCAAUGAAACUGUCUGCCUCUCCACAUGCAUCAGGGCCCUGCCGCCCUGGCACCAAGGCUGGCACGCACCAGAGGGCAAGUGGAGAAGUGGAUGGUGGCUCCCAAGUUAUCUGACUAACCACUGGGUGGGCUGCACUCCCUGUGCCCCCCUGUUCCCUCUGAUGGGAGUAUGCUUGGUUCUUGGUAUUGACUUGCCUUUUUUUGUUGUUUUUUUAAAAGGACCCAUUUUGUUAAAUGCUUCUGUUCUAUUACUCAAAAUGUAGCCAAAAUAGAAGGGAAUCAACUACUAGUGUAUUAUUUGAAAGCUUAAAACAGAAAUUGUGAAAUGUUAUUUCUGCUCAUAUUCUUAGUGUUUUCUCUUGGUAGGACCAUAAUGUUUAGCCUUUACGAUAUUUAAAACUCAUUAUGAGUGUUAGGGUUGUUUUUGUGAUACCCUGCUGGUAAUUUUAAGUCAUGAGGCUAGGAUAUGAAGAGGAGUUUUUUAAGUUUAUGUUUUAAAAGUGAAAUAUUGUGACUCUUUAAUCAUAGUUCUCAUCAAUAUCCCUCAGAAUAUUUAAAUGUUAAUGCUUUAAUAUUUAGGGAAAAAUUUUAUACCAAAGGUUGGAAAAAAAAAAAAAAAAGAAUCCUGUUACUCUGACUUCUGGUAUGUUUUAUAAAUGCAUCAGCACAGGAUAUUACUUAAAAUUCUGUUCUGACUGGCUUCAAGUCUUAUGGUUAGGUAAAGAAAACAGCUUCAGCCCAGUAAGAGAUUCACAUUUUGUUGUGAAUGCAAAACCAUUCUAAUGCUGAUACUCACAAACAAAUAACUAAUGUUUCCAGGGAUUCUGGGAACAUCUAAAGGCCAGGAUCUUGGCACAGCAUUACAGAGCAAACAAGGAGCUAAAGCUUUAGCAGUGAUCAUAUUCAAUGAAGACAUCAUUGUCAGUACCCUCUAAAGGUCUGUUUGAUUUGGAUCAGCACAGACAGUAUUUUUAAAAUAGCCCCAGGAAUAGUACAGUAGGCUUACUCAGCUAUAGAAAAUUAAACAGGAAGAUAUCCUGAAAAGGGGGUUUUUCAGGAAAAAAAAUUCUGAUUGCUCUUCAACAAUGUAACAUACAUUUGAUGGAUAUUAUAUGUACUAGAAAGAUUAGCUCAUGCCAUAGUGGGGAAAAAAAAAAAAAGGGUGGUGAUGCCACAUGGGAAGGACAAGUAGCAGUUCCAACACUGUACAUGUGAAGCCAACAAUUAUUAGCCUGAAAGUGGAGUUCUCUGGCUCUUUGCUGCAGAUCCAAAGUUAGGGGUGAGGGUUAAUUUUCAAUACAGACAUUGCUAUGAUAUUAAAAAAUUGAGUUGACAAGGUUGAGAAAGUUACAAGAUAAAGGUCAAGACACAAAGACACAAUUAUUAGACCCUACUCCUAUCCCAGUGAUCCAGCCUCACAGAGCAGCUGCAGAGUUGCAAGUCUUCUGGUACAUAGUUGCCAUUAGAUGAGGAUAAGUAUAAUAAAAGAUAAAUAGAAAUAAGCCAAAUCUAAGAAAUAAUCUAACCAUUUCAAAACUUUAACUUUAGGAUUUGUUGUAAUUCUCGUAUAAGAAGUAUGGGAUGAAGAACAAUAUAUGGAAAUGGCAUAAAAUCUUUUUAUCAUUAAGUUCAUUGUAUAAUAAACACUGCAAGCUAACGAAUGGA